GAUGAACGCUGGCUGUGUGCCUAAUACAUGCAUGCCGAGCGAAGUGAUUUAUCACUUAGCGGCGAAUGGGUGAGUAACACGUGGGCAACCUGCCCUGCAGACUGGGAUAACUUCGGGAAACCGGAGCUAAUACCGGAUAACACCGAAAACCGCAUGGUUUCGGUUGAAAGGCGGCUUUUAGCUGUCACUGCAGGAUGGGCCCGCGGCGCAUUAGCUAGUUGGUGAGGUAACGGCUCACCAAGGCGACGAUGCGUAGCCGACCUGAGAGGGUGACCGGCCACACUGGGACUGAGACACGGCCCAG
RNAcentral lists this ribosomal RNA (304 nucleotides) under uncultured bacterium. RNAcentral's name for it is "bacterial SSU rRNA". It matches the Rfam family "Bacterial small subunit ribosomal RNA", at positions 28 to 334 of the family's 1533-position model. The record is from RNAcentral.